RNAcentral lists this ribosomal RNA (468 nucleotides) under uncultured bacterium. RNAcentral's name for it is "partial 16S ribosomal RNA". It matches the Rfam family "Bacterial small subunit ribosomal RNA", at positions 28 to 507 of the family's 1533-position model. The record is from RNAcentral.
GACGAACGCUGGCGGCGUGCUUAACACAUGCAAGUCGAACGGAAAGGCCCUGCUUUUGUGGGGUGCUCGAGUGGCGAACGGGUGAGUAACACGUGAGUAACCUGCCCUUGACUUUGGGAUAACUUAAGGAAACUGGGGCAAAUACGGGAAAGGAGUUCCGGCUGCAGGGGGGGGGUGGGAAGGUUUCGGCGGUGGGGGAUGGACUCGCGGCUUAUCAGCUGGUUGGUGGGGUAGUGGCUUACCAAGCCUUUGACGGGUAGCCGGCCUGAGAGGGUGACCGGCCACAUUGGGACUGAGAUACGGCCCAGACUCCUACGGGAGGCAGCAGUGGGGAAUAUUGCACAAUGGGCGGAAGCCUGAUGCAGCAACGCCGCGUGCGGGAUGACGGCCUUCGGGUUGUAAACCGCUUUCGCCUGUGACGAAGCGUGAGUGACGGUAAUGGGUAAAGAAGCACCGGCUAACUACGUG